ACAGUUUACUUCUUCCAUUCGAACAGAACGCAUAAGUGACGGUGUCACAGCGUAUAUACAAAAAAGUGAAAUUAUCUUUUUUUAAAUGAAAAUUAUCUCGUUUUAGAGAAUAAUUAAUUAAAAACAACUCGAAUUUUAAUAUCACAAAAACAUAAAACAAAACAGUAAAGACUUUUACGCGUGUGUUUCAUUUUAAGUAAAAGAAGUUUGAAUAAAAACUUAAAAAAUUAUUAUGAAGUUUAAGUGAAGCGUUGAAGAAAUCAUUAAUAAACAAACGACUUUUUUAUUAAAAAAAGAAAGAAAAACAAAAAAUUAAUUGAUUAUAACAAGUGUUUCUUUUUUGUGAUUGAUACGGUUUUAAGACUCUGCCAAAAUGUUUGAUGUUUUUGGCUCCGUUAAGGGGCUGUUGAAAAUCGAUCAAGUCUGUAUCGAUAACAAUGUCUUUCGUAUGCAUUACAAAGCGACGGUUAUCAUUUUGAUAGCCUUUUCGCUGUUGGUCACCUCCAGACAGUACAUUGGUGAUCCCAUCGAUUGUAUAGUUGACGAAAUUCCACUGGGUGUUAUGGACACCUACUGUUGGAUUUAUUCCACAUUUACGGUGCCCGAACGUUUGACGGGUAUAACGGGUCGCGAUGUUGUGCAGCCGGGCGUAGGAUCUCACGUGGAAGGCGAAGAUGAAGUCAAGUAUCAUAAGUACUAUCAGUGGGUGUGUUUCGUGCUCUUUUUCCAAGCUAUAUUGUUCUAUGUGCCACGUUAUUUGUGGAAAUCAUGGGAAGGUGGUCGCUUGAAAAUGUUAGUCAUGGAUCUUAACAGUCCCAUUGUGAAUGAAGAGUGUAAAAAUGAUCGGAAAAAGAUCUUGGUGCAAUACUUUGUGGACAACAUCAAUCGUCACAACUUCUAUGCAUUCCGUUUCUUCUUAUGCGAAGCCCUAAAUUUCAUCAAUGUCAUUGGUCAAAUCUAUUUUGUGGAUUUCUUUUUGGAUGGCGAAUUCUCCACUUAUGGCAGUGAUGUCUUAAAAUUCACCGAAAUGGAACCUGAUGAACGUGUUGACCCUAUGGCGCGUGUCUUUCCUAAAGUCACUAAAUGUACAUUCCACAAAUAUGGUCCUUCUGGUUCGGUGCAGAAGUUCGACGGUCUCUGUGUGCUGCCUUUGAAUAUUGUCAAUGAGAAAAUCUAUGUCUUCCUGUGGUUCUGGUUCAUAAUCUUGUCUAUUUUGUCUGGUAUUUCGUUGGUCUAUCGCAUUGCUGUUGUCAUGGGUCCCAAAUUGAGACAUUUGCUGUUGCGCGCCCGUUCCCGUUUGGCCGAAGUCGAGGAGGUGGAAGCGGUGGCUAAGCAGUGUAAUAUUGGCGAUUGGUUCUUAUUGUACCAAUUGGGCAAAAAUAUCGAUCCCUUAAUCUAUAAAGAAGUGAUAGCUGAUCUCUCCCACGAACUAGGUGGUAAUACAGGUCAUAAACAACGUAUGGACCCCUAAGUAACGAAUGAACAACAACUUAAUGUUCUAACAUCGUUGUCAUCAUCAACAUUGUUAUGAUCGUAAUAAUUUCUAAUCAUCAUCAUAUGAUGAGGAAAUUAAUUUGUAGGAAGGCGCUCAAUUAAGCUCAACUUUUAUUAAAAAUGAACCCGUGAGAGCUGUAAUUAGAGUGUCUUCAACAAUAAAUCCUUUAUAAACAACGAUAUAAAAUUCAUGAAUAUCAUAUUCAAACAGGCCAGAACCUGUGACAAAAUAUAUAAAAGACAACAAUAAUUAUUUUUUAAAAACAAUAAAGCAAA
Molecule: unclassified non-coding RNA, 1770 nt
Filed under: Lucilia cuprina (Australian sheep blowfly)
Lineage: Eukaryota; Metazoa; Arthropoda; Insecta; Diptera; Calliphoridae
Description: innexin inx2, transcript variant X2
Source: RNAcentral